UACAGAGGUCUCAAGCGUUGUUCGGAUUCAUUGGGCGUAAAGGGCGCGUAGGCGGCGCGGUAAGUCGGGCGUGAAAUCUCGGGGCUUAACUCCGAAACUGCAUUCGAUACUGCCGUGCUUGAGGACUGGAGAGGAGACUGGAAUUUACGGUGUAGCGGUGAAAUGCGUAGAUAUCGUAAGGAAGACCAGUGGCGAAGGCGGGUCUCUGGACAGUUCCUGACGCUGAGGCACGAAGGUCAGGGGAGCAAACGGG
RNAcentral lists this ribosomal RNA (253 nucleotides) under uncultured bacterium. RNAcentral's name for it is "partial 16S ribosomal RNA". It matches the Rfam family "Bacterial small subunit ribosomal RNA", at positions 524 to 776 of the family's 1533-position model. The record is from RNAcentral.